This 440-nucleotide ribosomal RNA is filed under the name uncultured Roseomonas sp. Its description in RNAcentral is "bacterial SSU rRNA". It matches the Rfam family "Bacterial small subunit ribosomal RNA", at positions 338 to 795 of the family's 1533-position model. The record is from RNAcentral. Lineage: Bacteria; Pseudomonadati; Pseudomonadota; Alphaproteobacteria; Acetobacterales; Roseomonadaceae.
CCUACGGGUGGCUGCAGUGGGGAAUAUUGGACAAUGGGCGCAAGCCUGAUCCAGCAAUGCCGCGUGCAUGAAGAAGGUCUUCGGAUUGUAAAGUCCUUUCGGCGGGGACGAUGAUGACGGUACCCGCAGAAGAAGCCCCGGCUAACUUCGUGCCAGCAGCCGCGGUAAUACGAAGGGGGCUAGCGUUACUCGGAAUUACUGGGCGUAAAGGGCGCGUAGGCGGCGACGACAGUCAGGCGUGAAAUUCCUGGGCUUAACCUGGGGGCUGCGCUUGAUACAUCGUUGCUAGAGGACGGAAGAGGGUCGUGGAAUUCCCAGUGUAGAGGUGAAAUUCGUAGAUAUUGGGAAGAACACCGGUGGCGAAGGCGGCGACCUGGUCCGUUACUGACGCUGAGGCGCGACAGCGUGGGGAGCAAACAGGAUUAGAUACCCGAGUAGUC